Molecule: unclassified non-coding RNA, 634 nt
Filed under: Hevea brasiliensis (rubber tree)
Lineage: Eukaryota; Viridiplantae; Streptophyta; Magnoliopsida; Malpighiales; Euphorbiaceae
Source: RNAcentral
GUUCAACAACAGUGAGGCAGGUGAAGUUGGAAAAAGAAUGUGAGCUCCGAGUUGAAGCCAGCGCUGACUCGCCUCUCCGUCUUCGGCUCCUAACUGGCACGGCUGAGAUUUUUGGGACUGAAAUCCCUCCUGGAAUCUGGCUCAACUUUCCUCCAAGACUUAAAUUUGCAGUUUUUACUUGGUAUGGAGCCACAAUCGAGAUGGACGGUUCCACUGAAACUGAUUAUACAGCAGAUGAGACGCCGAUGAUAAGUUAUAUAAAUGUCCAUGCUGUACUUGAUGGACGAAGAAAUCGUGCCAAAGCUUCGCCUAGUGAUUCCGACACUUCUCAGGGCCCAAGAGUUAUUGUUGUGGGACCUACAGAUUCUGGCAAGAGUACUCUGUCAAGGAUGCUUCUUAGUUGGGCUGCGAAACAGGGAUGGAAACCUACUUUUGUUGAUUUGGACAUAGGUCAAGGAUCGAUAACUAUUCCAGGAUGUGUUGCUGCUUCACCAAUCGAGUUGCCUAUCGAUCCAGUUGAAGGAAUUCCACUUGAGAUGCCUAUGGUCUACUUCUUUGGCCAUGUGACUCCUAGUGCCAACAUAGAUCAGUACAAGGUACUCGUCAAGGAGCUUGCUAAGACUCUGGAGACACA